UAAGGCCGAGCACUUUAGCCGAACUGCCGUUGACAAACGGAGGAAGCGGGGAUGACGUCAAAUCAUCAUGCCCUUUAUGUCCUGGGCUACACACGUGCUACAAUGGCCUGUACAAAGGGCAGCAAAGGGGCGACCCGGAGCAAAUCCCAAAAAACAGGUCUCAGUUCGGAUUGCAGGCUGCAACUCGCCUGCAUGAAGGCGGAAUCGCUAGUAAUCGCAGGUCAGCAUACUGCGGUGAAUACGUUCCCGGGCCUU
This 255-nucleotide ribosomal RNA is filed under the name uncultured Desulfotomaculum sp. RNAcentral's name for it is "partial 16S ribosomal RNA". It matches the Rfam family "Bacterial small subunit ribosomal RNA", at positions 1126 to 1382 of the family's 1533-position model. The record is from RNAcentral. Lineage: Bacteria; Bacillati; Bacillota; Clostridia; Eubacteriales; Desulfotomaculaceae.